This 187-nucleotide unclassified non-coding RNA is filed under the name fungal sp. Its description in RNAcentral is "partial internal transcribed spacer region". The stretch from base 1 to 46 matches the Rfam family "Eukaryotic small subunit ribosomal RNA", at positions 1786 to 1831 of the family's 1831-position model. Lineage: Eukaryota; Fungi. RNAcentral also lists the same sequence under 1 other name. The record is from RNAcentral.
AAGUCGUAACAAGGUUUCCGUAGGUGAACCUGCGGAAGGAUCAUUACCGAUUUAAGUGAGCCCACUGGUCCUUAGGGAUCAUGGUCUCGCGAAAUUUUGUAUUUAAAACCCCACUCUUGUAAUUAUAAAUCAUGUUAUAUUAUGAUAAGAAUAAAGAUCACUUUCAACAACGGAUCUCUUGGCUCUC